GAUGAACGCUGGCGGCGUGCCUAAUACAUGCAAGUCGAGCGAACAGACGAGGAGCUUGCUCCUCUGACGUUAGCGGCGGACGGGUGAGUAACACGUGGAUAACCUACCUAUAAGACUGGGAUAACUUCGGGAAACCGGAGCUAAUACCGGAUAAUAUAUUGAACCGCAUGGUUCAAUAGUGAAAGACGGUUUUGCUGUCACUUAUAGAUGGAUCCGCGCCGCAUUAGCUAGUUGGUAAGGUAACGGCUUACCAAGGCAACGAUGCGUAGCCGACCUGAGAGGGUGAUCGGCCACACUGGAACUGAGACACGGUCCAGACUCCUACGGGAGGCAGCAGUAGGGAAUCUUACGCAAUGGGCGAAAGCUUGACGGAGCGACGCCGCGUGAGUGAUGAAGGUCUUCGGAUCGUAAAACUCUGUUAUUAGGGAAGAACAAAUGUGUAAGUAACUAUGCACGUCUUGACGGUACCUAAUCAGAAAGCAACGGCUAACUACGUG
Molecule: ribosomal RNA, 497 nt
Filed under: uncultured bacterium
Lineage: Bacteria
Description: partial 16S ribosomal RNA
Rfam family: Bacterial small subunit ribosomal RNA
Source: RNAcentral